UACGUAGGGGGCAAGCGUUAUCCGGAUUUACUGGGUGUAACGGGAGCGUAGGCGGUGCAGCAAGUCAGAAGUGAAAGCCCGGGGCUCAACUCCGGGACUGCUUUUGAAACUGUUGAACUAGAUUGCAGGAGAGGUAAGUGGAAUUCCUAGUGUAGCGGUGAAAUGCGUAGAUAUUAGGAGGAACACCAGUGGCGAAGGCGGCUUACUGGACUGUAAAUGACGCUGAGGCUCGAAAGCGUGGGGAGCAAACAGG
RNAcentral lists this ribosomal RNA (253 nucleotides) under uncultured bacterium. RNAcentral's name for it is "partial 16S ribosomal RNA". It matches the Rfam family "Bacterial small subunit ribosomal RNA", at positions 524 to 776 of the family's 1533-position model. The record is from RNAcentral.